ACUCAAAGGAAUAGACGGGGGCCCGCACAAGCAGCGGAGCAUGUGGUUUAAUUCGAAGCAACGCGAAGAACCUUACCAGGUCUUGACAUCCUGCUAAAGCUAUUGAAAGGUAGUGUCCCGCAAGGGGAGCAGAGACAGGUGGUGCAUGGUUGUCGUCAGCUCGUGUCGUGAGAUGUUGGGUUAAGUCCCGCAACGAGCGCAACCCCUGCACUCAGUUACCAGCGCGUAAAGGCGGGGACUCUGAGAGGACUGCCGUGGACAACACGGAGGAAGGUGGGGACGACGUCAAAUCAUCAUGCCCCUUAUGACCUGGGCUACACACGUGCUACAAUGGGCGCAACAAAGGGAAGCGAAGGCGUGAGCCGGAGCGGAUCUCAAAAAAGCGUUCUCAGUUCGGAUUGUGGGCUGCAACCCGCCCACAUGAAGUCGGAGUUGCUAGUAAUCGCGAAUCAGCAUGUCGCGGUGAAUACGUUCCCGGGCCUUGUACACACCGCCCGU
RNAcentral lists this ribosomal RNA (498 nucleotides) under uncultured bacterium. RNAcentral's name for it is "bacterial SSU rRNA". It matches the Rfam family "Bacterial small subunit ribosomal RNA", at positions 899 to 1397 of the family's 1533-position model. The record is from RNAcentral.